This 270-nucleotide ribosomal RNA is filed under the name uncultured bacterium. RNAcentral's name for it is "partial 16S ribosomal RNA". It matches the Rfam family "Bacterial small subunit ribosomal RNA", at positions 29 to 305 of the family's 1533-position model. The record is from RNAcentral.
AGCGAACGCUGGCGGCGUGCUUAACACAUGCAAGUCGAACGGUUGUAGCAAUACAACCGUGGCGAACGGGUGCGUAACACGUGGAUAACCUUCCUUCAGGUGGGGAAUAACCCAGUGAAAAUUGGGCUAAUACCGCAUAACAAGACGAGGGCACAUGCUUUUGUCUUCAAAGGCGCAAGUCGCCAGAAGAGGGAUCCGCGGCCGAUUAGCUAGUUGGCGGGGUAACGGCCCACCAAGGCAAUGAUCGGUAGCCGGAUUGAGAGGUUGGCC